UACGGAGGGGGCUAGCGUUGUUCGGAAUUACUGGGCGUAAAGCGCGCGUAGGCGGCCUUGCAAGUUAGAGGUGAAAGCCCGGAGCUCAACUCCGGAACUGCCUUUAAAACUGCAUAGCUUGAAUCCGGGAGAGGUGAGUGGAAUUCCGAGUGUAGAGGUGAAAUUCGUAGAUAUUCGGAAGAACACCAGUGGCGAAGGCGACUGACUGGACAAGUAUUGACGCUGAGGUGCGAAAGCGUGGGGAGCAAACAGG
Molecule: ribosomal RNA, 253 nt
Filed under: uncultured bacterium
Lineage: Bacteria
Description: partial 16S ribosomal RNA
Rfam family: Bacterial small subunit ribosomal RNA
Source: RNAcentral